Molecule: long non-coding RNA, 4128 nt
Organism: Oncorhynchus keta (chum salmon)
Lineage: Eukaryota; Metazoa; Chordata; Actinopteri; Salmoniformes; Salmonidae
Exons: 3
Source: RefSeq, a predicted model, not a curated record
UCCUUCUGUGGCUCAGUUGGUAGAGCAUGGCGCUUGUAACGCCAGGGUAGUGGGUUCAAUUCCCGGGACCACCCAUACGUAGAAUGUAUGCACACAUGACUGUAAGUCGCUUUGGAUAAAAGCGUCAGCUAAAUGGCAUAUAUAUUAUUAAACCUGAACUCUGGGUUGACUGACUCUGAGCUGUCAAACUCAGAGUUUUCGGUUUCAGAGCAGGUGAUAACAAUUAGUUAAAUCAAAGCUUGGUUAACUUAACCCCGAGUUAAACACGUGCAUGAGGAGCUAAAGAGCCAUCAUCAAUGGAACGCAGAUAACAUGAUUAAUCAUGGCAACAGGAGAAAAGGUCUCGAACCUCCUUCUCCCCAGUGGAGUUUGAAAUGUUAACGAACGCGUAUGCAGAAUAUGUGCAUAUAUUUAAGACAAAUAAAUAAAUGCCGUAGCAGCAGCAAAAGAACGUGAGUUGGCGUGGCAGAAAAUUGCUGACCAAGUCAAUGCGCACAAAACCUACUUGGCAGCCACUGAAGAUGAAAUAUACAAAUAUACUUCAAACAGACCAUACAAACGCUCCACACCGCGUGGCCGCGGCCACCCUAAUCUGGUGGUCCCAGCGCGUACGACCCAUGUGGAGUUCCAGGUCUCCGGUAGCCUCUGGAACUGCCGAUCUGCGGCCAACAAGGCAGAGUUCAUCUCAGCCUAUGCCUCCCUCCAGUCCCUCGACUUCUUGGCACUGACGGAAACAUGGAUCACCACAGAUAACACUGCUACUCCUACUGCUCUCUCCUCGUCCGGCCACGUGUUCUCGCACACCCCGAGAGCUUCUGGUCAGCGGGGUGGUGGCAUCGGGAUCCUCAUCUCUCCCAAGUGGUCUUUCUCUUUUCUCCCCUUACCCAUCUGUCUAUCGCCUCCUUUGAAUUCCAUGCUGUCACAGUUACCAGCCCUUUCAAGCUUAACAUCCUUAUCAUUUAUCGCCCUCCAGGUUCCCUUGGAGAGUUCAUCAAUGAGCUUGAUGCCUUGAUAAGCUCCUUUCCUGAGGACGGCUCACCUCUCACAGUUCUGGGCGACUUUAACCUCCCCACGUCUACCUUUGACUCAUUCCUCUCUGCCUCCUUCUUUCCACUCCUCUCCUCUUUUGACCUCACCCUCUCACCGUUGGUGCAGUCGUUCUAGCUAGCUACAUCCUGCCUAUCUGUUCCAGGUGUGUAAUUUCUUGGUAAAUAUGCCCAAAAGAAAAUCAGAGAUAUACAGGAGCGUGAGGCUUCAGAGUAUAUCGCUCAAGCCUGACGUCAGUUCCACGUCGAGACUAACCAGAGAACGUGCAACAUGACAGGAAGGCUACAGAUAGUCAUCUCACCUUCAGUCUAUUAACAGUAACAGGCCCUGAAAUCUCCUGCAACAAUCAUGUCAAAUGAUUGCGAUACUGCUGUGUUGUUGAUUCAUAUUUGUGCAUUUUGAAACCCUGUUGAUUUUUUUUUUUUAAAUGUAUAGUGUUGUCAAUGCUCCCUACCUUAAUUAAGAGAAGCCAUUUGACAUAAUCUGAACUCGCAGCACUGCUGAAGAGCAUGUACGUACGUGGUCAAGACUUGAUAGCUCAGCAAAAUUAUUAGUUUAUUAAUGACAUCACCUGUUUCUCUUCUAGACCAGCAUAUAAACUUUAAAUAUUGUCAGGACCUGAAGAUUAUCAGUGUUAUUAUUCUUCAACAUGAAUUCAUUUGAAUCAAUAACUAAAGUGAUUUAAUCUGUCAUAUGGUAAUCACCCCCAGGUUUCACCCGAAGUGUCGUGGCUGUGUACAGUGUGUUGGUAUGUUGAUUGUUUUACACCAUGUUCAGCUCAAUAUCAUUGGUGGCUACUUAUACAUGGACAAUUCUGUCAGCAAGAAUUGAAUGGUAAGCCUUUAAGCUUUAAUGUCUUGUACCCUAUGGGGCAGCUUCAAUUCCUAGUUACAUAUUAAGCCUACAUUCAGCACCUCCCAUGAACUGCAGAAAUUAAGGAGUGGACAUUUUACUGGUAGACCUGGACCUCUUGGCCUUCUCUAUAUGUCUGCAUGACACUGGACAUCACAGAUGGAGGAAGAAAUGCACUUAUUCUCUGUACCAAGUCACAAAACUCAAGAGGAUCGGGUCCUUGGAGAGUUACUGUUCCCUGUCCUUGGUGGGAGAACUGUGUUCCAUUGUGGACUGUAGGGUUCUAAACUGCUGCCUUCUUUACCUGGUACUUCAAGGUCAAAGACCCACUGCAUCUUCUGUCGUUCUGCCCUUAACCCACUCUUAACUGCCUUGCUCAGCCAUCAUUGUAAAUAAGAAUUUGUUCUUAACUGACUUGCCUAGUUAAAGGUUCAAUCUUAAGAACCUGAGUUUUUGUCCUUUACUGAUCUGUUCCCCCAAGGCUUAAAAAGUCAGCCAGAGCCCACCAUGAAUCAGGUCAUUUUCCUGUGUCAUUAUGAAGAAAAUCCUGAAAGCCUUAUCCCACUUUACAUAGCUGUUGCUUUGGUACAUUAAAGCAGAAAUCUGCCAAAGGAGCCACUGACUGCCCCAGGAGCAUUUUAUUUGAGGAAAUGAGCACCCAGCAUUGUGGUGUAAAAAAAAAUCAACGUACAUACUCUGCUGUUCUAUCGCUUGUGCAAUGAUGUCCGAGGGAUUUUGUUGGUGUUUGAAGUCUUUGUUGUUAUGUGUUUCACCAAUUAGGUGCCUUUUUGAGUAGUGUAACCUUACGAGAAACUUAGAGAAAAAAAGCCCCAGUUUUACAGUAUUUCACCAAAUUUUAACAUUCUUCAAUAAAGAGCACACAUUCUUAAUUAUUUUACAACAUCAACAGAUAAAAACUAUAGCAAGUGCCAAACAAAGUGCCUUCAUCUUAAAUCAGCCAUAAAUCUCCUUGUGGCGGGGUAAUGGAAGCUUGUGUGCAGCAGGAAAGGGCAAUUAAAUUCAAGCGUACAAUAUUUCUAGCCUGUAUCUAUAGCUAACGGGGGUUACAUGUUGUGCUUGACCCUUGCUGUUUUCCACCACAAAACACCAGGUAUGAUUUAUUUUCUUGUAUUUUUUUUAUUUAAUUACAAAUAACUUAAUCCUAUAUCAGCAUUUUGACAUGUCCAUCAUUGUCUCACGUCAGAUCAGUGCAGAUGGCUGUCGCACUGACCUGAGACAAAGGGAGAUGUUACAAUGCUGAAUUUUGGCAUGCCUAUUAUUUUAAAAAAUGCAAUAUUUAUGCACAAUUUCUACUUAAAAUAUCAAAGGGCACUUCUAUCCUUUGACCAAUAUCGCAAAUGAACUCGGCAUUUUCACUGCUAUGGAUCGCAGCUUUAAGCAUAAAGUGGACCAAGUGUCAGUUUGAGUCUAAACAGAUUAGUCUUAGUUUUUCCAUUCUAUUACUGUUGUUGAGGAAUCAGUGUACAAAACAUUAGGAACAUCUUGUCUUUCCAUAAAACUGCCCAGGUGAACCCAGGUGAAAGCUAUGAUCCCAUAUUGAUGUCACUGGGUAAAUCCACUUCAAUCAGUGUAGAUGAAUUUGACAAGACGGGUUAAAGAAUGAUUUUUAAGAUAUCCAGUGCUGUGCCAUCUAGACUGCAAUUCCCCAUUCAACCUCUAGGUUUACUUUCUGUUCAACAAUGUUCAGUACUUCAAGGCACUAUUGACUUCAUCUACUUUGUCUCUGUCUUUGAAAUGUCAAUGUUUUUUCUUAUUAAAUCAUGGAAAUUGGAAAUGUUCUCAUAUUUCUGUUAGGGAAUGGAGGUGGGCCUUAAAGUUAACCUUGAAGUUUGUUUGGGUACUUUAAGUGAGAAUGUAGGCCUGUCUCUUUCCUCUUUGUAACAUAACAUUCUGAAUAACAACUGAAAAUGUAAGUACUGUAGCAUUGACAUUAACAAUUAUAAAAUAUCACGAUUUAAUAUAUUCAGUGUCUCUUUUGAUUUGUGUUUCCUAAUAUAAAUGUAGGUAACUAUUUUAUGGACCACUUUGCUUCAGGGUCAUACUGUCGUUUCUUUAGAAGUUCCUCUGCUCAGCAGCAGAGGGCAGCACAUGACAAUAAGGACUAACACUAUACUGGACUCCCAUUGCGUCAAUACUGCCCCUGCCAAUUAACAUGUAUGGUGGAUCAAGUAGGCUACAUCUCUAUUAAAUGCUUUUGGGAUAAACACA